GUUGAAAGUGUUGGGGGCCAGGUGAAAUGUUGGAGGAGAACAGGAUGGAGACAAAAGGUGAGAAGAAGCUGAAGGCGAUGGUGUCCCAGUGCUGGAGGUGGUCGGGGAAGUGCCUGUGCUGCCCCCUGAAAAAUAAAAGAAUUAUAUUUGCGUCUGAGGAUGAAACUUACACAAAAGUGUGCAUGGCCAACAAGGACUUUUCAAGGAAUCCUUUUAAUAUAAAGGAGUUUGGGAAGGGGACAGCUGAGAAGGAGGAGGAAGAACAUCUCCCACUUCUUGUUUUUGGACCACUGCGUGGCCUCGGCGACAGGGCCGGCCGGGGAAGGUCAGAGAUUCGUUUUCUGCAAGUGGCAUUCUGCGCACAUCUUCCUCCUCUUCCACCCUAAACACUAUGAGCUUCGGUGAAAGCAGCGCUGUGGCGCAAGUGGAGAAACUUGACUCCAGCUGUAAAGAGGUUUGUGUUUUAUGGGAUAUGUAUCUGGUCUCCUCUCUUUGAAGGUCCGUUCUUGCUCUCCCAGAUCUGGUGUUUAUGGGGUCCCCGAAGAGACCCCCUGUUCGGCACACUGUGCCGUCCUGUUGUGGGUUCGCUCUGUCAGGCACUGGCCCUCGCCCUGCAGCAGGAAGCGCAAGAUGCAACAGAUGACUUUUUACAACUCUAAAUGGUUUUCUCAGAUGGCCCGAGAUGGAACGAAUGGUACUGAUUUAAGGCCUCAAUUGGUUUCACUACAAAAAAAUAAGAAGGGAGCUAUUAACAAGUCACAGGGAUUUCUGCUGAGCAGAUGAGAGGUACAUGUUAAAAAGUUUGUAGUCAGCUUGCUUUGGCUUUUAGAUGACACUCCCUGGAAAUGAGACUUGGUGGCCUGCUGAGUUUCAGGGGGCGGGAGCCCCCACAUGAACCAGUGUUUGAAGCCGGGGAGCAAGCCUGUCCAAGAGAAGGUCACAUUGCUUCCAUUCACUUUGAAGAAGUUCUCUCGUGCACUUCAAGUACUCAAUACAAACGACAGCUAGUUUUCAAAGUCCACGUAGAGAAGACUGUGGCACUCAUUUUGCAGAGAAGCAAACGAGAUACCGAGAAGUCUUUACCCUCGCAUGAUCUAACAGCUUGUCGGCUGUUAAACAAGAUCGGAAGUGCCAGCCAAGCGCUAAAUAAGCAUAAGGAGGCAGGCUGCCCUCCCUGUGCAUCUCAACACUCGGCUGCCUGAGGCCUCUCAUCACAGAAGACCUAGGGCAGAGUGGAAAACCAGGCGACACUGAUACAAAGGGGGCAGAGCUGCCUCUCAGAGAAAAGCACACCUCCCUUUCUUGUAUAACAUUCUCGCCUCACCCCUCUGCCACAGCCAGGUCCUGAAUGCUCUCAGGGUCUUGAUUGAAGCUUUAUUAAUAGAUGAGUGUGGGCUGUAGCAUUUGGAUUGCCCAGCUGUCUUACUGAUUACGGGACCUUGCAAGUUAGCCUCUCUCUAUACAAAUGGAAUUUCGGGUAUCUACCUUUGUAGGGAUGUUCUGAGAAACAGAUGAAAUAACAUAUAAUACAAAGUGCACAAAGGCAUUAAAUAUGUAUUUCCAUUUCUUUUCCCUUCUGUCAGUGAAGAAGGAGUGAAAGAAGGAGAAAGGAAUCACAGGGCAUUUGAGUUCUGAUGGGGAGACUCUCAGGUGUUGGCUUCUGUCCACGGAGCUGAGCAUGUCUGGCCUCCCCGCACUCUGGUGAGCAUAUGUCACAGCUAGAUGCCCGGAUGUAACAGGCUGGAGGAGCCUCCAUGGUUGCGAAUGACAGAGCACUGGGCCCGUGACCACUAGGGGCCCACUAAGCCUGUACUCCCAAAGGCUAAACCAGCUCUGUUUCCUCUCUGAACGAUCUUUCCCUCUCGCCUCACCCCUGCCUAGAAUGGAAAUUCCAUGCUCUGUGUCUCUAUUCUCAGAUCAAGCAAGCGGAAUUGAACACAAAUAGAUAGAGAUGGACUGCCAGCUCUGGUGUCACUGGUCCAAGAUGGUUCCUUCCUGGUACAAGAGUUGUCAGCCCCUUGGACAUGGAUGGUGCUCACACAAGCUCUUUCGGUUUGGGCCGUACAAACAGCUCCACUGUAUAUAUCAUCAGAACAACAGGACUGCACUUGGCCAUAACUGACCUGGGCUCCUCUUUUUUCUUCUCUACCUGUGUUGCCUCAGUCAACGUCCCCAAGCAUCACCUACUUGGUUAGUUCAUUUUGUCCCUGCCACUAGCAGUGUUCAGGCAGAAGCCCCUCCUGAAAUAGAAUCCUAUCUCCAGACUCUCCAAACAUGUGAACUCCCUUGCUGAUUCUAAAUGAAGACAUCUGAAGGUAAGACCAUACACUUGACUUCAUAAAAAUAGAAUAUCGACCUAUUUAGAAUUAAUGCUCAAGGUGUUGGCAAGGAAACAUCAAUUGGAAGUGUAAACUAAAAAACAACGUUGUGGACAAUCAAAGCUCUAGUAAGAAUGAAGAAAUCAAAUGCGGUCUAAUGGGAAGGGAACUGCCCUGUCAAGAUGGAGACGCACUUCGGAAUCCUCAGCUCACUUCUUUCACCAUUUACCUGCAGAUAUGUGAGCAGACUUUGCUCUGUGCCUCGGUUUCUCUUUGUGUAAAAGGCAGAGGAUAAGGAAUCCCAUGCAUGCUUCUCCAUAGGAGAAAACAACUAUAUAGAAUACCCAUUCAAUAUAUUUUUUUAAACAGAAGGAUUUGGGUUUUUGCAAAACUGCGGCUAAUUCAACUAAGGGCUUUCCUUGCAAUGUUAUCAACAAAUGGGACUUCAUGAAAGAGAAAUAAAAAUGACAGCAAGGACAGGAUGAAAAAAGCAUCUGUAACCUCGUUCAGACAGAAGAGUCUAGCUUCCAGCAACAGCAGCAGAAGCAGCAGUAGAAAACAGUCUUAGGGCCAUGUAUUUGACAUGCCAGAUAUUCAUGUGUCUGAAGCAGUGAGGUUAUAUGGACACUGGGUAAGUCAGUCAUUAUGUGGAGCUUAGGUUUCGUGUCAACACUGCCAAUACUCUCUUCACCAAAAGGAAAUUACUACAAGAUCAGUCUGCCACCGAAGUUCCCUCUAGAAGGUCAUCACUUUCUACUCCUUCUAAGACACGAGACAGUUCAACACAGGUGGCUAUGUCUCUUUUCUUCGUUUCAUGCGUGAUACUGUCCAGAGCUACCGGAAUUCUUAGUUCUUAAGGGAGGAGGGAGUGAAUGUUGUUUCUUUUAUGUCCUUUGUUAAUGUGAAGAAACCAAGCCACAUAGUUUUUAAUAAUGAGAAUCUGGAUCAAGUUCAAUGUAUAGUUCAAAAAUGGAUUCCAAUUAAACAAUUGAAUAGAAUUUUGGCUCUCCCUCCAGCCCCAUCCCACUACCAUAUGUAUCUAGUAAUUCCAAGUUCAUCCCCCACCAAUAAAAAAUGGACUCCCUAAUUAAGUGUGACA
Molecule: long non-coding RNA, 3417 nt
Organism: Felis catus (domestic cat)
Lineage: Eukaryota; Metazoa; Chordata; Mammalia; Carnivora; Felidae
Exons: 3
Source: RefSeq, a predicted model, not a curated record